RNAcentral lists this ribosomal RNA (460 nucleotides) under uncultured bacterium. RNAcentral describes it as "partial 16S ribosomal RNA". It matches the Rfam family "Bacterial small subunit ribosomal RNA", at positions 338 to 795 of the family's 1533-position model. The record is from RNAcentral.
CCUACGGGAGGCUGCAGUGAGGAAUAUUGGUCAAUGGACGAGAGUCUGAACCAGCCAAGUAGCGUGAAGGAUGACUGCCCUAUGGGUUGUAAACUUCUUUUAUAAAGGAGUAAAACCAGGCACGUGUGCCUUUUUGCAUGUACUUUAUGAAUAAGGAUCGGCUAACUCCGUGCCAGCAGCCGCGGUAAUACGGAGGAUCCGAGCGUUAUCCGGAUUUAUUGGGUUUAAAGGGAGCGUAGAUGGGUUGUUAAGUCAGUGGUGAAAGUCUGCGGCUCAACCGUAAAAUUGCAAUUGAUACUGGCAGUCUUGAGUAUAGUUGAGGUAAGCGGAAUUCGUGGUGUAGCGGUGAAAUGCUUAGAGAUCACGAAGAACCCCGAUUGCGAAGGCAGCUUACUAAACUAUGACUGACAUUGAUGCUCGAAAGCGUGGGUAGCAAACAGGAUUAGAUACCCUAGUAGUC